UUGUCCAUGGAACUUUUGUCCCCUGCAGAACUGGUGCAUCAAGCGGAGAUCCCAGUCCAUCUACCUGCAGGUGCUGACAGACAAGCACGCCCCGGAGCACUACAGGGUCCUGGGCAGUGUCUCACAGUUUGAGGAGUUUGGACGGGUCUUCCACUGCCCCAAGAACUCACCCAUGAACCCAGUGCACAAGUGCUCGGUGUGGUGAGGCUGAUCCCCAUUCAGCAGGCUGGGACCCACCUUCCCCUCCCCUGCCCAAGAGACACAUUGUGCCCACUACCCAAAUCCCAUCUCCCUUCUGAUUCUCCAGGUAAAGGGGGCACCCUCGGGUGUCACAGGGGUCAUCCCAAAGGCAGGCAGCUGCCAUAGGGCUGUAGGCAGCAGAGACACUUGAGCUGGGCAGCUUCCUCCUGCCCAUGCCCCUCCCAUCCACUGCCCUGUGCAGUGAGGGAUCCUCAUUUCCCAUGGAGGAACAAGGGCACACAGGCACACCUGUACCCCCUUUUGUGUCCACCCAGCCCAAACCCUUCACCCAGCCCUACCACAUCCAUCCUAGCAUCAGUCAAGGCAGGUGGAGGACUUCACAGUCUCCAAGGGGCUGCCCCAUGCCAUAAGCCUCCCCUGCACGGUGCCCUCCCCAUGCCAGCCCCUGUCCAUGCACCAGCCCUGCCUGGGGGGGCACAGCGGCGCAGCCAGGCCGGGCGAUGCUGGCCUGCCUGGGAGCGCAGGCACACGGACACUGCUGUAUUUUCCGCUGCUGCUCCUGGUCAAUAAAGCGCUGGAUAUGCUGGGUGGCUGCCAGGGGCCAUGGCCAGGGGAUGGGAGCAGUGGCAGCACCCCCAGCCCUGCCCACAUGGCACAGGCACCCCCACUCCAUGAACACGCCUGUCCCA
Zonotrichia albicollis (white-throated sparrow) is the source of this 890-nucleotide non-coding RNA. NCBI's taxonomy places the organism in Eukaryota, Metazoa, Chordata, Aves, Passeriformes, Passerellidae. The record is from RefSeq and is a predicted model, not a curated record.